GGCGAACGCUGGCGGCGUGCUUAACACAUGCAAGUCGAACGGAAAGGCCCUGCUUUUGUGGGGUGCUCGAGUGGCGAACGGGUGAGUAACACGUGAGUAACCUGCCCUUGACUUUGGGAUAACUUCAGGAAACUGGGGCUAAUACCGGAUAGUAGCUCCUGCUGCAUGGUGGGGGUUGGAUAGUUUCGGCGGUUGGGGAUGGACUCGCGGCUUAUCAGCUUGUUGGUGGGGUAGUGGCUUACCAAGGCUUUGACGGGUAGCCGGCCUGAGAGGGUGACCGGCCACAUUGGGACUGAGAUACGGACCAGACUCCUACGGGAGGCAGCAGGGGGGAAUAUUGCACAAUGGGCGGAAGCCUGAUGCAGAAACGCCGCGUGCGGGAUGACGGCCUUCGGGUUGUAAACCGCUUUCGCCUGUGACGAAGCGUGAGUGACGGUAAUGGGUAAAGAAGCACCGGCUAACUACGUG
RNAcentral lists this ribosomal RNA (468 nucleotides) under uncultured bacterium. Its description in RNAcentral is "partial 16S ribosomal RNA". It matches the Rfam family "Bacterial small subunit ribosomal RNA", at positions 28 to 507 of the family's 1533-position model. The record is from RNAcentral.